RNAcentral lists this unclassified non-coding RNA (347 nucleotides) under soil metagenome. RNAcentral describes it as "partial contains 5.8S ribosomal RNA, internal transcribed spacer 2, and large subunit ribosomal RNA". The stretch from base 1 to 120 matches the Rfam family "5.8S ribosomal RNA", at positions 35 to 154 of the family's 154-position model. The record is from RNAcentral.
GAUGAAGAACGUAGCGAAAUGCGAUAAGUAAUGUGAAUUGCAGAAUUCAGUGAAUCAUCGAAUCUUUGAACGCACAUUGCGCCCGCCAGUAUUCUGGCGGGCAUGCCUGUCUGGGCGUCAUUUCAACCCUCAUGCCCCUAGGGCGUGGUGUUGGGGAUCGGCCAAAGCCCGCGAGGGACGGCCGGCCCCUAAAUCUAGUGGCGGACCCGUCGUGGCCUCCUCUGCGAAGUAGUGAUAUUCCGCAUCGGAGAGCGAUGAGCCCCUGCCGUUAAACCCCCAACUUUCCAAGGUUGACCUCAGAUCAGGUAGGAAUACCCGCUGAACUUAAGCAUAUCAAUAAGCGGAGG